Molecule: small RNA, 22 nt
Filed under: Arabidopsis thaliana (thale cress)
Lineage: Eukaryota; Viridiplantae; Streptophyta; Magnoliopsida; Brassicales; Brassicaceae
Description: ATSL115180
Source: RNAcentral
AAAAGGAAAAAAAAACGAAAAA